RNAcentral lists this transfer RNA (73 nucleotides) under bacterium. Its description in RNAcentral is "tRNA-Pro". It matches the Rfam family "tRNA". From Rfam's summary of the family: Transfer RNA (tRNA) molecules are approximately 80 nucleotides in length. Their secondary structure includes four short double-helical elements and three loops (D, anti-codon, and T loops). The record is from RNAcentral. RNAcentral also lists the same sequence under 1 other name.
CGGGCUGUAGCUCAGUUGGUAGAGUGCACGGUUCGGGACCGUGAGGUCGCGGGUUCGAGCCCCGCCAGCCCGA